UACGUAGGAGGCAAGCGUUGUCCGGAAUUACUGGGCGUAAAGCGCGUGUAGGUGGUGGGACAAGUCUGCUGUGAAAGCGCCUGGCUUAACCGGGCGAGGUCGGCGGAAACUGUCCGACUCGAGGACGGUAGAGGGGGGUGGAAUUCCCGGUGUAGUGGUGAAAUGCGUAGAGAUCGGGAGGAACACCUGUGGCGAAGGCGGCCCCCUGGGCCGGCCCUGACACUGAGACGCGAAGGCAUGGGGAGCGAACGGG
RNAcentral lists this ribosomal RNA (253 nucleotides) under uncultured bacterium. RNAcentral describes it as "partial 16S ribosomal RNA". It matches the Rfam family "Bacterial small subunit ribosomal RNA", at positions 524 to 776 of the family's 1533-position model. The record is from RNAcentral.